GCUUAAGCACAACUACCAGACCCCGGUCCGCCAGAAAAUUACGAGCGAAAGCCUAAAACUCAAAAGACUUGACGGUGUCCCAACCUUCCUAGAGGAGCCUGUUCCGUAAUCGACAACCCACGAUAUACCUAACCACCUUUAGAUAUUACAGCCUAUAUACCGCCGUCGCACAGCCUGCCUUUUAAAAGAACAUAAAUAGGCUAAAUAGUACAAUACUAACAAGUCAGGUCAAGGUGUAGCUAAUAAGGUGGAGGAAAUGGGCUACAUUUUUUAUAUUAAAUAAUACGAACUAACACCCCUGAAAAAGAAAAUGAAGGCGGAUUUAGCAGUAAUUUAAACAAGAAUAUUUAAAUUAAUACCAGCUCUGGGACACGU
This 375-nucleotide ribosomal RNA is filed under the name Potamites ecpleopus. RNAcentral describes it as "partial 12S ribosomal RNA". It matches the Rfam family "Bacterial small subunit ribosomal RNA", at positions 745 to 1384 of the family's 1533-position model. The record is from RNAcentral. Lineage: Eukaryota; Metazoa; Chordata; Lepidosauria; Squamata; Gymnophthalmidae.